UUAAACAGGGUCAGUAAGUACAUCCUAUUCCUGUUAAGGGGGCGACAGUUGCUAAAUAAAAAAAUGGCGCCAUUCUCGCUAAAGAAAAUUUUAAUAGUCUCACCACUGUGAAUACCUGCGGCGAAGGCACGUCACACACCAAUAGGUAUUCAUCAUUAUUUCAUCGACAAGUUAUUUAUUCCUAUUUAUAUAAUUACACUGCUUCUGAAACUAAGUUCAACAUGCUUUCUUUUAAAUUAUAUUAUUAAAUUUUUUUAUGCUACUCCUAAAUUUGUCGGAGUCGAAUUAAGAUAACUCAAAUAAGAUAAAAAUAUUAUGCAAUGUUGAGAUCGAAUAAUAUGGGUGGUAGUGCUUGAUUCCUGAAAACAGAGUUUUAUCACACAAUUCAAACUGGUAUAGAACAAAAAGAAUCAGGACUGGUGUUAUAUUUGAUCUAAAUGUGAAAUACAUACCGGGCGGGAGAGAUGGAAAAGAAGCUUUUUCAAAGAGUAAUUUUUAUUUUUUUAAUUCCUUUUUUACCAAUUAUGCAAUUAAUAGAGGAGACAAGUGGUAUCUGAAUGGAAGGGGCUGUAGGAGUGGCAUGGUGUUUAUGUUACUGUUCUAUUUCAAUUAUUACUUGAAGGAAAAGUAGAAGGAAAAAGAAAGAGACGCUUAAGAAGUAUGGGAGAGGUUAUUAGUCAGGACAUGACCCAGGUGGAGUUGACUGAGGACACUGUCCUAAACAUGAGUGUGUGGAGGUCAAAAAUUAGGGUAGAAGGUUCGUAAGUAGUCGAGCGUUUUUCUUUUGUCUUGCUCAGUUAGCUAGUAUUAGUGUUAGUAAGAUAUCUUUUAUUUGUAGAUGACUAUUACUACUUGCAUUCUUGGACUCGAUUUAUUUCAUCUUGAUGCUAUUCCUAUUUGUUGCAAUUACCUUUUCUUUUUCAGUUGUUCUCUAGUCUUUUUUUUUUUGGUAAUUAAGACAUGCGUUAAAAAAACAUACUAAGAGUCAUUACAUAGUUCAUUACAAACGGAAAUUGUUCUAGGACACAAAGUUCCUAGCUUGUCCCUUUCUAGAAUAGAGUUAACAAAAGUAGGAGGACUGUAUUGGGCAAAUUUGGUUCCCUAUAUUCUUAGGUUAUCUAUGCACGCCUUUGACGUAGAGAACUGCCUAAUUGAGGCCGACUCGAAUAAGGUCGGCCCCAGUAAGCGGACGGAUCAAGCGCCAUGACUCAAGACGACGUCGCCUAAAGUUAUGACUUUUCCGUACACUGAGACCACCAACCCUUGUAUUUUUCUUUGAUUAUUUUGAGGAAGAUCCCUUAAUAUAUAAAGGGGACCUUCCCUUUAUAAAGUAAUCAUGUGUAUCUUAUUAUUACGAAUAUACAACUCUCUCUCUCUCUAUCUCUCUCUUUCUUGUGAAAAGAACAUUACUUACUUUGUUAUUCUUACAUCUUAAGCUACCUUCACUAUUAUCAUAGAUCUUAACAAAACGGUUUUCUCUAGUUCAUAUUACCCUUGAUUCCGAUUAACGCAUAUUAUUUUUGAUUGUUCUUGAGCUUAACAAGUACUUAACUUUUUAGCCAAAUAAUUUGGCGCCGUCUGUGGGAAUUUCGUGAAUCAAAGUUGUAAUUUGCUUCUAGAGAUCCUUCAAAAACCACCUUCUACAACCUAGAAUGGACGAAAACAACGCAAGAAUGAAAGCUAUCAUGGAUGCUAGAGCCGAUCUUAUGGGCCCUUUCAACUUCUACAACCUAGAAUGGUUGAAAACCAUGCAAGAAUGAAAGCUAUCAUGGAUGCUAGAGCCAAUCUUAUGAGCCCUUUCAACACGGCUACUGAAGGGGAUGCUCCAUACGCAACCCCUAGUACCCUGAUAAGCGUGGAAAACCUACCUUCCUCUUCUGAAGAUCUGGUGGUUCCACAGGAAAAAGAGGCCUCUACCAAAGAAGCACCCCCAUAAGUAAAGAGGUUAUUGGAAUAAUGGUUGACAAGUGCUUUGAGUAACUUAGCCGGAAAGCCGCCCCAAAAUGCUAGAUGCACACCAACACCAGUGACGGACCAUGCCAUAGACGAAGAUGAACUCGAGGUCACACGAACAAACAACGUGCCCGCCGAUGCUCCAGCCCAUGGGGGGACGCUCACAACCAUCCUCAAAAAGAUGGAAGAAAUGAAAAACGAAAAUAGGUCGCUUUGCGACCAGAUGAAGGAGCACCAAGAAAGAGUGGACAAGAUCCCGGGUGCACCUAAGUUGCUGCUAAAGAGAGACGUGGGGAGGUUCGUUAAACAACCCUACACAGAAGGAGCUGCACCUUACCCCAUCCCAAAGACCUUCAAAAUGCCCCCCUAUUUGAAGGUAUAUAGGGACAUCAAAUCCCGAGGACCACCUAAUUCACUAUGUUACGGCGGUCAAAGGUAAUGAUUUAUCAAAGGAACAGGUAUCAUCUGUACAUCUGAAGAAGUUCGGCGAAACACUAACAGGAGGGGCCCUAACAUGGUACUCCCAGUUACCGGCCAAAAAGCAUCUCCACGUUCGAGGAAAUGGCAGAUAAAUUUGUCACCGCCCACGCAUGAGCCAAAAAAGCUGAAGCACGGGUUAACGACAUCUUUGCUGUCCGACAGGUCUCAGGAGAAGGGCUCAGAGAGUUCUUAGCCAGGUUCAACAGGGUCUGGAUGAGCCUACCAAACGUGUCUAAAAGCAUGGCAAGCACAUCUUUUCAGAAUGGACUCAGCAUGGACGACUCACGGGCGACUAGAAAACUGCUUAGCCGUCUUAUGAAAUAUCCAGGUCAGGAUGAGCCUACCAUACGUGUCCGAAGGCAUGGCAGUCACAGCUUUUCAGAACGGACUCAGCAGGGACGGCUCACGGGCGACCAGAAAAUUGCUUAGCCAUCUUAUAAAAUAUCCCCCUACAACCUGGGAAGAAAUCCACAACGCCUACUGCGCCGAGUACGAGGAGACGACGACGACGAACUUAAUGCCCGACCAGGCGUCUAAUAACGGUAAAGACCAACGCAAUGAGGGAUGACGGGAACAAGUCCCACGCCUCAACAGGGAGAGACAUCAACCCUACGCCAGAUCUUUGCAACCACCAAGGCACGCGGACGCCAUAAAACGACAUGUCGCCCCACUAAGGAACGAUAAAGGUAUGCCUCCUUCAUUAUCUGCACAUAACAUUUUUGUGUCUCCUUCAGAAGUAGUGUACGCACUGGAGAAGCUGGGCAACAAAGUACAAUGGCCAGCAAAGAUGAAGUCCGACCCCGCCACCAGAAAAUCAAACGCCCUAUGUGAGUUCCACCAAGUCUACAACGAUGCUUUCUCCCAUUUCAAUGUGCGCUGCCCUUCUUCUACUUCGAUGAAUUGAAGUCUCGAGAAUUCUUUGGUAUUUUUAGAAUCAAGUUAUUGGUGGUGGUAAACCCAAAAUGUUAUGGUCAUUCUCUAUCUCUUUGUUUAAUUGUUCUGAUUAUACGAUGUAUGUAGUGGGUUUUAGUUAUAUAUCAAAAAACUAGAACAUCUUGAUAGUGGGAUUCCCCAGUUAUAAAGACAAAAACUUCCGCUUUAGAGCUGAAGUUUCCAGUACAAUACAAAAAUUUCAGAUCCUAAUUACAACAUAAAAACUUCAGCUAUAGAGCUGAACUUGAUGCCCAGCUACUAGAAUGCUGAAGUUUUGCAUGAUUGUCUUUGCUACUUCAGCCCCGUGUACUGCCGUCGAAUUUUACAUGGCUAAGGCCAUCAUUUUUACACGGCUACGACCAUUGUUUUAACACGGCUAAGGCCGUCGAAUUUUACACGCCUAAGGCCAUCAUUUUUACAUGGCUACGGUCAUUGUUUUAACACGGGUAAGGCCAUCGAAUUUUACAUGGAUAAAACCAUCAUUUUUUACAUGGCUAUGGCCAUUGUUUUAACACGGCUAAGGCCGUCGAAUUUUACAUGGCUAAGGCCAUGAUUUUUACAUGGCUAAGGCCAAUUUUUUAACACGGCUAAGGCCGUCGAUUUUACAUGGCUAAGUCCAUCAUUUUUACAUGGCCAAGGCCAUCAUUUUUACACGGCUAUUGCCAUUGUUUUAACACGGCUAAAGCCGUCGGGUUCUACACAGCUAUGGCCGUCAAACUUUACUUGGCUACGGCCAUCAUUUUCACAUGUUCAGGGCCACAGAAUGGCCCACUUAGCUUCAACUACGGCAAAAGAAAAAAAAUAUAUAUAAUGUUCCAGAAAACAGAAAAGAUUUAACUAAAAGUCGUAUAUCUUUAUCCUCAAAAAGGUCAACACCCACGAUACCAAAAUCAGUAUUUACAAACAUAUUUACAAAGGUCCGAAAGUCCUCCACCCCCUGAUUAUCCUGCCUCGCCUGGCCUUCAUGCGGCCCAUCUUCGUUCCCAGGAGGAUAUGCCUAGGAAGUCCAAGAGCUGGACUCCAAACGGUUGACAUGUGCAGAGUUACCCUCCUCCCGGGGUGGCGAUUCAGGACUAUAGCCGGCUGCUUCACGGGCAGCUCUAACCAUCUGGCGUUGGCACUCAACUUCCACCUCAAAUGCUCGCCCAGCCGCCAAAAAUUCUUCAAGCACGACCAGCCGGGCCUCCACGUACACCCACAUCUCUUGUGCCUCACGAGACGCAUCAGCCUGUGAAAGGGCCCGCUUGAGGUCCUCAACCUCGGCCUUUUUGGCAUCAAGUUCCGCCGUUAAGGUCGCAACCCGAGUGCGCAAUUUAGCCGCCUACUCCGCCACUGGAAAUGGCAGAUGAAACUCUUCGUCCUUAGCUUGAAUAAGGACCUCCAUCUCCGCAGUUCGAGCAACAACGGCCAUGAGUUGUUCGUCGACUUUCUCUAGCUCGGCCACCCUUUUCUUCAGUUGCUCCUCGGGCUGCACGAGGCCCUCACGAACCACCCUAAAGUUAGGGUCCUGUUUGUGCAUAUCGGCCAAGGUCUAGUGCGCCUAACGUGUUCUGUUAUAUUUCUUCACCAACCUAUUGUAUUUGGCCACCUUCUUCUUCAGGCGUCAACCCCUCUUCGCCUCCAAGAUAAGAGUCUAAAAAAACGAAAGGUGAGUACAAGGAAAAUCGCCCUCCACUAAUGCAAAAGAAAAAUCAUCAAUCAAGGCAAAAGACAUACCUGCAAGGCAACGCCCGCCACUCUUCGGGCCAAGCCCUUGUCACCGAGAUUCGCCAGGGCCACGCUCUCAGCGCCCGCACAUAGGAGUGUCAUGCUAGUGGCUGCCUCCUCACAGUUUCAGGCCAAGCCCUUGUCACUGAGCUCCGUCAGGGCCGGGCUCUCGGCGCCCGCACAUAGGAGUGUCAUGCUAGUGGCUGCCUCAUCGCAGUUCUCCAACAAAUUAUAGUGACUAGGAAUCACUAUGCGACGGGAGGACCGGCCAACCAACAUCUCCACUUUGUCCAUGGACUCGCCUUUUCUAUCCGCGUCCUCCAUGGCGGUCUCCAGACCCGCCACGUUCAAACUUUCAUCCCUUCUUUCCGCAGCUUCUCUCCUCAGAGCAGAGCUUCUUGAACGAAUGGCCUCGGCCAUAAAAACCGGCCUAGAUUCAGGACAGGGUGGUUUAACCUUCUCCGCCCGAGUAAUGCCUUCUCUGCUUGCGUCCUCCAUAGCGAUCUCCGGGUCUACCACGUCCACACUUUUGCCCCUUCUCUCCGCGGCUUCCCUCCUCAGAGAAGACCUCCCCGAGCGAAUGGCCUCGGCCAUAAAACCGGCCUAGAUUCAGGACGGGGUGGCUUAACCUUCCGCGUCUGAGUAACCACAACCUUGCCGGUUAGAAUCUGACGUCUCCUCCUUUCCAAUGUCUCUUCCUUUUCAAGGUCCCCCAUAGUGGGACGCAAGACGGGCUCCGAAGGGGAUGGUUCGACAGUGGACGCUUUUGUGGGGGCAACCCCGGGGACGGUCCCAAGCACAACCGCUGGUAUGCCAUGACGCGUUGUUUCAAGUAUGGACCCUGGCACUGCCUCAUACACUAACUCCGAAGCCGCCUCUGAUGCGAUCUCCUGCCUUGAGGGGGGGGGGGGGGGAAAAANNNNNNNNNNGGGGGGGGGGGGGAAUAAACACUACCCCUGGACGUACCUACGAGGAUCAUAUCUUCCUCACCAAGGUUUGAUGCCGCCAUAGAAGGGACGACCACAUCUCUAUUCUUAUUCUUCUUCUUCCGCGACUUCUUAGAGGCGCCUCAACCUACCAAAAUAUGUAUGAGAUAGGCAAGAAAAUUAUGGAGAACCCCCAGGUCAGAAUGGAAAGGAAAAAUCAAGCAAGGCCAUUAUCUGACAGGCCAUAGAGGCGGAGGAAUUCCAUCCAGGCACAGCAUUCCUCCGCAAACGGUAUCAAUGCUCGCACCCACGAUCUAAUGUCAUCAAUCCUUUGAGGAGGGCGAGUUGUCACUGCAUAAAGGCAAAAGGAAAUCUAUAAUGGUGAAAACCAGCAAAAUAAGAUUGCUGUAGUAAAAACUACAUACAGGAAUGCUUACAUGCUUUGUUCCACGCCUCCGGAAACCCUUCAGGGUUAGACACCAGGUGCUCAGUACGCAUAUAGAAAAAUCUCUUCCAAAAUUUGCGACUAGCCUUGUCGUCCGCUAGCGACACAAAACUCUUCUUGCCCCGACGUACUAACUGGAGCAUUGAGCCUCUCAUAAAGCUCACGCCGAACAUUUGCAAGAUGUGAUGAAUGGUGACCUCCUUCUCAGCCUUAGCUUCGUAGGUGGUAAGAAUUCUACACACCUUCAGCGCAUAUGGGGUAAGUUGGGCCGGACACGCCCUGAACAAACGAUAAAGUUCCUCCGCGUAGGUGGUAAGAAUCCUACACACCAUCAACGCAUACAAAGUAAGCUGGGCCGGACAUGCCCCGUACAAGCGACAAAGCUCCUUCGCCAAAGGAUAAAGCGGGAGGCUAUACCUGAUUAGAAAAGCAUACUCGUAGAAUGUGCAAUACCCGGGCCUAUGCAUGUUGGCAUAGUCCGUCCCGGCGGGAGCCAUCUAGAUGUAGUCAGGGAUAUUAUGCGACUCCCUGAGAGUAUCCAAAUGAGUUGGCGUCAGUUCACUGAGUUCCCGAUGGGGAAGUUUACACUGGUUCUUAAAAUCUUUCCGUGCAACCAUAUCCAGUGGAAGAAUAUUGGCCAUUGAUAAGGGAACGAGAACCUCCUCAGCUUCCCCAUCUUCUGAGGAUAACGAAGACCUAGAAAGGGCGUCACCCUUGGUCCUGGUACUAUCGUGACGAUGCUUAGCCAUGAUAGAAGUUAUGAGAGAAAGGCGUUUUAAGGAUACAAGGUUUGAUUCCCAGGAAUGAAUACUUUAAAAGAAAAGAUCAACGGGUGCCAGAGAAAGAUGAGGACGGGAAUGGCAUAACCCCUCCACAUAUGAUCACGCCCCCCUUUCCACAGUACCAACGAGAACAACCAAAUUUAUAGAAAGGACGAGCACGCAUAUCCGUUCGUUGGAGACAUCUCUCGGCUACGUCCCCAACAAACGGAGGGACUAUCUGUAUUUGGAAUAUUUGGUUCCCUAUGUUCUUAGGUUAUUUAUGCACGCCUUUGAUGUAGAGAACAACCUAAUUGAGGCCGACUCGAAUAAGGUCGGCCCCAGUAAGCGGACGGACCAAGCGGCAUGACUCAAGACGACGUCGCUUAAAGUUCUGACUUUCCUGUACACUGAGACCACCAACCCUUGUAAUUUUCUUUGAUUAUUUCGAGGAAGGUCCCUUAAUAUAUAAAGGGGACCUUCCCUUUGUAAAUGACUCAUGUGUAUCUUAUUAUUAAGAAUAACUUUUCCGCACACUGAGACCACCAACCCAUGUAUUUUUCUUUGAUUAUUUCGAGGAAGGUCCCUUAAUAUAUAAAGGGGACUUUCCCUUUGUAAAGGACUCAGAUGUAUCUUAUUAUCAAGAAUAUACAACUCUCUCUCUAUCAGUCUCUCUAUCUCUCUCUUUCUUGUGAAAAGAUCAUUACUUACUUCGUUAUUCUUACAUCUUAAGCUACCUUUACUAUUAUCAUAGAUCUUAACAAAACGCUUUUCUCUAGUUCAUAUUAUCCUUGAUUCCGAUUAACCCAUAUUAUUUUUGAUUGUUCUUGAGCUUAACAAGUGCUUAACUUUUUAGCCAAACAAGGACUAAGAUAAGUUGUUAAGCUUCCAAAAGUUGUUGAGUUGCUUCCAUUCUUCGCCAUUGAAUCAGCCGCCUGGUUUGCCUCUCUGAAGUCGUGCUGUAAUGGCGGAUCACCUGCUCUACUCAUAGGCAUAUGUAAAGAGCAUGUGAGUAGGGGCUACGGCUGCAUACAUCUUACUCCGGACCCCAUUCGUGUUUUUUUUUUGUUAUUGUUGUUGUUGGACUGUUCUAUUUGGUAGUGCAAGAUUAGUCGGUAUUCUGCUUAUGGUAUAAAAGAAGCUUAGAAUCAAGACAUAUAGAAGCGUGUCUCCUGAUUUGUUAAUACCAAUUUUAAGAGGUUUCCUUUUCCUUUUCCUUGUAAAAUUUGAUAGAAACGUUAGUUUCACCUGUAAUAAGUUAGUUUCUGUUAUUUUGCAGCAAAGCAAUUCCUUCUCUUUAGGCUCAAAGAAGAGCUGAAGUUUUUCUCCUCACUGUUCUGCUAAAUAUUACAGACUGCAAAUUGUUUGGUCAGUGGAUACGAUAAUACUUCUGGGGAGGUAAAUUGAGCAUAUUAUAUUCCUCUACAUUAACGUAUGCUUUUGUACAGUUUGGGGUGAAAGUUGUGCUUUACUUUGACAAGUGAGAAUUUGCAAUACUUUUAUAUUUAUGUUGAGCUACUGAAAUACUAGAAAAGAAGGCAUUUGGUUAAUUAUCAGUCAGCAGGUUCUUGUGUACUUUGAGUUGCUUAAAUAAGGCGAUAUCGUCAGAAACUUGAUACAUAGAUAGUAUCGGUAACAUUUCUAAUACAUCCCCAAUUUACAACUUGUGAGAAUUGCACUUUGAAAAUUAUUGAAUGAAAACGACUUUAUGGUUUUUGGGAUGAAGGACAAGUCUAAUGUUAGCUACAGAAAGUAAAUAGAUGACGAAAGAUUCCAAGACUAUUCCCCCUUUUAGGACUUGUAUUGAUUGAAAAUGCCAGAUAUCAAUAACCUCAUGGUGAUACUACCUGCUGGAUUGUCCAUAAUUAUAAUUUAAAAGAGCUCACUGUGUAAUUGUGUACUCUUAUCCGAAACCUCAGAUGAAGAAAGAUGCCAUCGUAACAUAAGUCCAUGUACUUUGAUGAUAAAGAGAUAUCAGGAUUUUAAUUUCUGAGGCAUGGUUUCAUGUUAUAAUUGCAAAUGGUGUUGGUUAUUUAAACCCUCACUUUCACCUUCUGAUUCCUCGUUGCUUGAAUAUGCACCAAAACUUACAUCUUUGGACUUUACGCUGCUUUGUUGCCUUAAACUGAAAGGAAUACUGUCAUUGAAUGAAUCCUUCUUUUGAGAGUCUUUUUUGGCAUCUCUUAAAACCUUGCUUUUCCGUCUUGAACUUGAGCUGAUUUUUCGAGAGGAGGAUUUUAACUUGCUUUUGCGCCUUGAUUUGGAACCCAAUUUUCCAGAUUUUGUUGUCAUCCCUUGGUGUUUAUACGUGCUGUCGUCUUUCUCAUUCUCUGAAGAUCCUGAUGUACUUCCAUAUCCAUAAUCAGAACUUGCUCUAUCAUCCUCAUCAGUCUCAGCAGAAACUUUUUGAUGAUCUUUAUUAUAAUUAUCAUUUUCAUCAUUUUGUUCACUGCUUCGAUCCUCAUUAUCUGAACUCUUUGGCUCGUAAUCAUCUGAAAUCUCUGUAUCUGAACUGACUUUCUCAGGUGGCAAAGAUUCAGGAAUCGGUUCAUCUGGUGGAGCCACUUCAAGGGAAGUAAUAGCAGCUACAACAUCACCGAUCAAGGGACGGACUG
This 9817-nucleotide long non-coding RNA is filed under the name Nicotiana benthamiana. Its description in RNAcentral is "long non-coding RNA (NBEN_LNC010253)". The record is from RNAcentral. Lineage: Eukaryota; Viridiplantae; Streptophyta; Magnoliopsida; Solanales; Solanaceae.